Molecule: transfer RNA, 71 nt
Filed under: Loxodonta africana (African savanna elephant)
Lineage: Eukaryota; Metazoa; Chordata; Mammalia; Proboscidea; Elephantidae
Rfam family: tRNA
About the family: Transfer RNA (tRNA) molecules are approximately 80 nucleotides in length.
Source: Rfam by way of RNAcentral
GCAUUAGUGGUUCAGCGGUAGAAUUCUAUCCUUCCAUGUGGGAGACCCAGGUUCGAUUCUUGGCCAAUAUA